UGUGUGUGUGCCAUGUACCCCCCUCCCCCUACUAGCUAAAGAGUGUUCCAUGUCCACCGCUGGCCCAAACGCUGGCUAAUGUGCACGGCGACAGCGGCGGGAAGCCACAGACCCAGCGUGAAUUGAGCGGCGCCCGGUGCUCUCCUCCUCCGCCCUCUCUCAGACAGAAGCCCCUGCUUGACGGCCGGCGGCUGUGUAGAGCGCACAGCCGUUCACCGCCGCUAGCCGCCCACCGCCGCCAGCCACUCACCGCCACCAGCCGCAACAAAUGAGUCAGAGCAUUGCUAUGGCGAUGUAAGGAAGGGAACGGACGUCAUCAGUAGGCGCCUGAGUCCCGGAGUUGCACGCUGAGUGACACACGUGGUGGGGAUCCUAUUUAAGUGUGUUUAUAAAAACGGAAGCGUUAAACCUUCUGCCGGAAGAUUGGCAGUCUGAGGGUCACUUAAUCCUGCAUGGCGAUGAUGAGAGA
Long non-coding RNA from Pseudophryne corroboree (corroboree frog), 469 nucleotides. RefSeq lists it as uncharacterized. The transcript is spliced from 3 exons. The record is from RefSeq and is a predicted model, not a curated record. NCBI's taxonomy places the organism in Eukaryota, Metazoa, Chordata, Amphibia, Anura, Myobatrachidae.